AUUCACGCUGGCGGCGUGCAUAACACAUGCACGUCGCACGAUGAAACUUUAAUGAACCCUUCGGGGAGAAUUAAAGCGGAUUAGUGGCGAACGGGUGAGUAACGCGUGAGUAACCUGCCUUACACAAGGGGAUAGCCUUUGGAAACGAAGAAUAAUACCCUAUAAAACCAUAAAAGCACAUGCAAUUAUGGUCAAAGUGAUAGCGGUGUAAGAUGGACUUGCGUCUGAUUAGCUAGUUGGUGAGAUAAAAGCCCACCAAGGCAACGAUCAGUAGCCGGCUUGAGAGAGUGUACGGCCACAUUGGGACUGAGACACGGCCCAGACUCCUACGGGAGGCAGCAGUGGGGAAUUUUGCACAAUGGGGGAAACCCUGAUGCAGCGACGCCGCGUGAUUUAGAAGGCCUUCGGGUUGUAAAAAUCUUUUGUAUAGGAAGAAAAUGACAGUACUAUACGAAUAAGGUCCGGCUAAUUACGUG
This 476-nucleotide ribosomal RNA is filed under the name uncultured bacterium. RNAcentral's name for it is "partial 16S ribosomal RNA". It matches the Rfam family "Bacterial small subunit ribosomal RNA", at positions 33 to 507 of the family's 1533-position model. The record is from RNAcentral.